This 2690-nucleotide long non-coding RNA is filed under the name Panax ginseng (ginseng). RNAcentral describes it as "long non-coding RNA (PGIN_LNC001360)". The record is from RNAcentral. Lineage: Eukaryota; Viridiplantae; Streptophyta; Magnoliopsida; Apiales; Araliaceae.
GGUUACAUAUAUCAAAACCAACAAUCAUAGCUUUAUAUCAUUUCUAAUUUAAGAAAAUGUAUCCAUUUCGCACGUUGUUCCAUCUUCAUCAUUUGUAUAGCAAGUAAUAUUACACAACAUCAUUAACCUGCAAAAAGUUUGUGUUUGCAAGAUUAAGCUCGACAACCUAGCAAAUUUAAGGUUUCACAUAACACACAACUCUAUGUUCGCCUCAUGCAACAUAUUUUCUUUUGAAUAUCUUACAUGCAUCAACAAUUAUUUGCAAUACAUAUACUCAUGCAUCAAUAAUUCUUCUACUAAACAUAUCAUUUAUGCAAUAUAAUUUCAUGCAAUUCAUCUAACAUGCUUUGUACAAUUCACAUUCUCAUACAAUAUAUGUUAUCACAUAUCACAUAUAAAUUGAAUUUCAUAACCCAAUUGACUUAGUCAUAUUUUGACUUUAAUAAUUCAAUAAACAUGGUAUGUAACUCACCAUAUAAUCUUAUAAUCCACAAACAUAAUAGAACUGAAAAACUUACGUUGAUUGGAGAUUACUACAAAAUUGUACUUAGAGUUUCUCCAUAAUUCCUACAUAAUUAUAUUUACAUGCACACACAUAUUAGAUAAUUAAAUAUGUUACCAAAACAUGCAUGUAUAUUUAAGAAUAAUAAUUAUUAGUUUUAUAGAAACUAACAUUAUUUAUUCUUGCUCAAAACGAAUAUUAGUUUAUUUAGAAACUUAAUUCGUUUUAACUUUUUUACACCAAAUAAAGGUCCCUCCAAUUUUACUAUGUAAAUACUUUACACUUAAAGCUUAAGUCAUUUAUAUUCCACUUUAGGAAUAUCUUUUGCCUUUAUUUGCGAAUCCAGGUUUUAAAUAGAUAUUAUAUAUCUUUUAUAAUAAAAACUCCAUUUACUAUAUUUUUUCUUGAUUUAAAUAAUUUUUAUAACUUUUUGCCCACUCUUGAAUCAACUCAGACCAUUGCCUCAUAUAAAAAUUUUACUUCGUUAGCAAAUUAGCUUCCUAUUUAAUCUCACACAUAAUUCGCAUUCUCACUUAUAUAUAUAUAUAUAUAUAUAUAUAUAUAUAUAUAUAUAUAUAUAUAUAACAAAUAUUGGCUCAAAUACCUCAUUUUGAACCCUAGAAACCUCAAAAAUAUCAUUUUCAUGAUUAAUACAAAUUUUUAAAGGUUUCUCGCCUUGCACCACAAAAUAAUUUUAUAGGCAAACUUGGUUUUUAUUUUGCUUAAAUAUGUAAAUUUAUAUUUAUUACAUAUUUUUAUUACUUUAUUUAUGCCCGAAAGGAAGUUUCUCGGCAUAAAAUAUUAUUUAUAGUCAAAUCUUUUCCCGUAGGACUUUAUUAGAUUUAUUAUGACUUAUUAUUUUGCCGGAACUCGAUUCGAAACGUCGAAUGUCAAAAUCGCUCGGCGCGUCGACGCUCGGCUUCGCCCAAAUUUUAGUUCUGACAUGCCUAUUCGCUCAUUUUUAACUCUCAAACCAUAAGUUCAAUAAUCGUAAAAUUUUUGGGAAAUCAAAGAUCUCAUGUCGUAUUAUUUUAGAAAAAUUUCAAACUGCAAAAAUAGUACACGAAACCCAAUCAAAAUAGCAUAUGAAAAGGAUGUUAAAUAGCAGUCAGCACAGCGCAGUGCCGCACUGCAGGCGCACGGAGCUGCGCGCGGCACUUCUGUUGCUGCACGUUCUGAGACAGCCACUUUGCGAUUUCCUCAUGGGUUGCUCGGAACUCCGAUUAAUUUGAUUUUAAAAUAUGUUGUACAUGGCAUACCAAAGUAUUUUUAAAAAAUAUCACCACUGAAAUUUGGGUAUAUUAAGUUGUCCAAACAAUGCAUCCAAAUAGGCUGUUCGCACUAGUUUUUCAACGUUGCAAUUUUAGUUCAAAAGUCGCCUCGACCCAAAUCAACCCGACUUUCUUAACAACUAACCUUACUUAAUCAUAUAUUUACAUGUUUAAGGUUUCAAAUCCUUAAAAUUAUGUGUUCUUGCUCGGAUUUGUUCUUUAUGGCCAUUUAACAAACAAAAUGCAUACGUUUUAUGUUUGACUUGGUUUCCUAACAAUUCGUUUGCAGUUUUUCUCCAACUUCAUCCUUAUAACAUUCCACAAACCAAACGUAAUCACCAAGUCUCUAUAUCCAUGAAUUCAACAUUAAUUCAAACACAAAAUCAAACUAAAAAUGAUUUUUAGUAAAUUAAAGCUUACUAAAAAAAUUCAAAUUUUAUUUCCUUGAUUCAAAACCAAUUCUAAUAACAUACUAUAUAUACAUAGAUCAGAACUUGAAUCAAUAUGAAGGAAUUUCAUUACAAAUUACCUCACAGCCUACUAAACUUCCAAAAUCUCAAGUUUAGUAAACAAAAAAAAAAUUACAUAUUCUAUAACUUCAAUUAAAUUCAAAAUUGAGUAAGGAUUUAUACCUCAUGCAAUUUAUCUUCUCUUUUUCCAAGCUUGAUAUCCUCUCAUAUAUCCUAAUCUUUGGUUCCAAUUUGUCCAAACUCCCUCAAACAUACAAUUCUUCACUUAUUCAAUUUUGGAAAAUUACAAAUAUUCAGGCAAUUUGGGAGAGAGAUGGCUCUUUUAUGGAGAAGGAGAAAGAAGAAGACUUUUCAUCAAAUGUCAACAACAAAUCCUUGGUGCCCAAGCAUGAAUAGGGAGUAAACUUCACACUUCUUUAUCUCCUCAAACUAACGGCAAGAAGAAAA